GCGGAGCCGGCCUCGGAAAUAUGGCGACAGCUUCAGCUUUCAGUGUGAGGGAGCCGAGGGCCCAGCCAAACCCUGCGGGAGGCAAUUCCUGGGCCAGCAGGAGCAUAUCACUGUGACUUACAACCCUUCUCUAGUCUGCUACAAUGGAGUCUUAAACAAGAAAAUUUUAUAUUUUGACUUGCAUCAUUGAGAAAAACACUGCCAACCUGAUCGUGGUUCCUUUGAAGCUUAAAUCAAGAAGAAUUAGAAACCCUGAACAGAACAAUAACAAGCAGCAAGAUUGAAAUGGUAAUACAAAAGUUACCAAGGAAAAAAAAGUCCAGGACCAGAUGUAUUCACGGCUAAAUUCUAUCAGACAUUCAAAGAAUUGGUAACAAUCCAAUUGACACUAUUCCACAAGAUAGAGAAAGAGGGAAUCCUUCCUAAAUCAUUCUAUGAAGCCACUAUCACCCUAAUACCAAAACCAGGAAAGGACAUGACAAAAAAAAACUACAGACCAAUAUCCCUGAUGAACACAGAUGCAAAAAUUCUUAACAAAAUAGUAGCUAACUGAAUCCAACAGCAUAUCAAAAAGAUAAUCCAGCAUGAUCGAGUGGGUUGCAUGCCAGGGAUGCAGGGAUGGUUUAACAUACACAAGUCAAUAAAUGUGAUAUGCCACAUAAACAGAAUUAAAAACAAAAAUCACAUGAUCAUCUCAAUAGACGCAGAAGAAGCAUUUGACAAAAUCCAGCGUCCCUUUAUGAUUAAAACCUUCAGCAAAAUUGGCAUACCAGAGACAUACCUCAAUGUAAUAAAAGCCAUCUAUGACAAACUCACAGCCAACAUAAUACUGAAUGGGGAAAAGUGGAAAGCAUUCCCUCUGAGAACUGGAACAAGACAAGGAUGCCCACUGUCACCACUUCUAUUCAACAUAGUACUGGAAGUCCUAGCCAGAGCAAUCAGACAAGAGAAGGAAAUAAAGGGCAUCCAAAUUGGUAAAGAGUCAAACUGUCGCUGUUUGCUGAUGAUAUGAUCAUAUGCCUAGAAAACCCUAAAAACUCAUCCAGAAAGCUCCUAGAACUUAUAAAUAAAUUCAGCAAAGUUUUAAGAUACAAAAUUAAUGUAUACAAAUCAGUAGCUCUGCUAUACACCGGCAGCAACCAAACUGAGAAUCAAAUUAAGAACUCAACCCCUUUUACAAUAGCCACAAAACAAACAAACUUAGGAAUAUACCUAACCAAGGAGGUGAAAGACCUCUACAAGGAAAACUACAAAACACUGCUGAAAGAAAUCAUAGACACCACAAACAAAUGGAAACACAUCUCAUGCUCACAGAUGGGUAAAAUCAAUUAUUGUGAAAAUGACCAUUCUGCCAAAGGCAACCUACAAAUUCAAUGCAAUUCCCAUCAAAAUAUCAUCAUCAUUCUUCACAGAACUAGAAAAAAAAUCCUAAAAUUCAUAUGGAACCAAAUAAGAGCCCAAAUAGCCAAAGCAAGCCUAAGCAAAAAGAACAAAUCUGGAGGCAUCACAUUACUGAUUUCAAACUAUACUAUAAGGCUAUAGUCACCAAAACAGUACGGUACUGGUAUGAAAAUAGGCACAUCAACCAAUAGAACAGAAUAGAGAAUCCAGAAAUAAACCCAAAUACAUACAGCUAACUGAUCGUUGACAAAGCAAACAAAAACAUAAAAUGGGGAAAGGACACUCUUUUCAACAAAUGGUGCUGGGAUAAUUGGCUAGCCACAUGUAUGAGAAUGAAAUUGGAUCCCCAUCUCUCACCUUAUACAAAAAUCAACUCAAGAUGAAUGAAGGACUUAAAUCUAAGACCUGAAACUAUAAAAGUUCUAGCAGAUAACAUUGGACAAACACUCCUAGAGAUUGGUUUAGGCAAAUACUUCAUGACCAAGAACCCAAAAGCAAAUGCAACAAAAACAAAGAUGAAUAGCUCAGACUUACUAAAGAGCUUUUGCACAGCAAAAGGAAGAAUCAGCAGAGUAAACAUACAACCCACAAAGUGAGAGAAAAUCUUCAUAAUAAUACAUCUGACAAAGGGCUAAUAUCCAGAAUCUAUAAAGAACUCAAGCAAAUUAGCAGGAAAAAAUCAAACAGUCCCAUAAAAAAGUUGGCUUAAAAGAAGAUAUACAAAUGGCCAAAAAAUAUAUGAAAAACUGCUCAACAUCACCAAUGAUCAGAAAAAUGCAAAUCAAAACCACAGUGUGAUACCACCUUACUCCUGCAAGAAUAGCCAUAAUC
Pan troglodytes (chimpanzee) is the source of this 2232-nucleotide long non-coding RNA. RefSeq lists it as uncharacterized. Lineage: Eukaryota; Metazoa; Chordata; Mammalia; Primates; Hominidae. The transcript is spliced from 3 exons. The record is from RefSeq and is a predicted model, not a curated record.